AGUAACACGUGAGCAACCUGCCUUUCAGAGGGGAAUAACGUUUGGAAACGAACGCUAAUACCGCAUAACAUUGGGAUAUGGCAUCAUGACCCAAUCAAAGAUUUAUCGCUGAAAGAUGGGCUCGCGCCCGAUUAGGUAGUUGGUGAGAUAAUAGCCCAUCAAGCCGACGAUCGGUAGCCGGACUGAGAGGUUGAACGGCCACAUUGGGACUGAGACACGGCCCAGACUCCUACGGAAGGCAGCAG
This 245-nucleotide ribosomal RNA is filed under the name uncultured bacterium. RNAcentral's name for it is "partial 16S ribosomal RNA". It matches the Rfam family "Bacterial small subunit ribosomal RNA", at positions 109 to 354 of the family's 1533-position model. The record is from RNAcentral.